Molecule: ribosomal RNA, 471 nt
Filed under: Babesia capreoli
Lineage: Eukaryota; Apicomplexa; Aconoidasida; Piroplasmida; Babesiidae
Description: SSU rRNA
Rfam family: Eukaryotic small subunit ribosomal RNA
Source: RNAcentral
UGGAAUGAUGGUGACCUAAACCCUCACCAGAGUAACAAUUGGAGGGCAAGUCUGGUGCCAGCAGCCGCGGUAAUUCCAGCUCCAAUAGCGUAUAUUAAACUUGUUGCAGUUAAAAAGCUCGUAGUUGAAUUUUUGCGUGGUGUUAAUAUUGACUGAUGUCGAGAUUGCACUUCGCUUUUGGGAUUUUUCCCUUUUUACUUUGAGAAAAUUAGAGUGUUUCAAGCAGACUUUUGUCUUGAAUACUUCAGCAUGGAAUAAUAGAGUAGGACUUUGGUUCUAUUUUGUUGGUUUGUGAACCUUAGUAAUGGUUAAUAGGAACGGUUGGGGGCAUUCGUAUUUAACUGUCAGAGGUGAAAUUCUUAGAUUUGUUAAAGACGAACUACUGCGAAAGCAUUUGCCAAGGACGUUUUCAUUAAUCAAGAACGAAAGUUAGGGGAUCGAAGACGAUCAGAUACCGUCGUAGUCCUAACC